AGCGAACGCUGGCGGCAGGCUUAACACAUGCAAGUCGAGCGGGCCCUUCGGGGUCAGCGGCGGACGGGUGAGUAACGCGUGGGAACGUGCCCUCUGGUUCGGAAUAACUCAGGGAAACUUGAGCUAAUACCGGAUACGCCCUUUUGGGGAAAGGCUUGCUGCCGGAGGAUCGGCCCGCGUCUGAUUAGCUAGUUGGUGGGGUAACGGCCUACCAAGGCGACGAUCAGUAGCUGGUCUGAGAGGAUGAUCAGCCACACUGGGACUGAGACACGGCCCAGACUCCUACGGGAGGCAGCAGUGGGGAAUAUUGGACAAUGGGGGCAACCCUGAUCCAGCCAUGCCGCGUGAGUGAUGAAGGCCUUAGGGUUGUAAAGCUCUUUUAUCYGGGACGAUAAUGACGGUACCGGAGGAAUAAGCCCCGGCUAACUUCGUGCCAGCAGCCGCGGUAAUACGAAGGGGGCUAGCGUUGCU
RNAcentral lists this ribosomal RNA (471 nucleotides) under uncultured bacterium. RNAcentral's name for it is "bacterial SSU rRNA". It matches the Rfam family "Bacterial small subunit ribosomal RNA", at positions 28 to 545 of the family's 1533-position model. The record is from RNAcentral.